GGAACUCGAUGUUCAAGUAUAAGCUGCUAACUUAAUACUUUAGCGGUUAAAUUCCGUUUAUGUUCCU
Molecule: transfer RNA, 67 nt
Filed under: Anaplecta sp. 7 ZQW-2020
Lineage: Eukaryota; Metazoa; Arthropoda; Insecta; Blattodea; Anaplectidae
Description: tRNA-Ser
Source: RNAcentral